RNAcentral lists this ribosomal RNA (253 nucleotides) under uncultured bacterium. RNAcentral describes it as "partial 16S ribosomal RNA". It matches the Rfam family "Bacterial small subunit ribosomal RNA", at positions 524 to 776 of the family's 1533-position model. The record is from RNAcentral.
UACGUAGGGUGCGAGCGUUGUCCGGAAUUAUUGGGCGUAAAGGGCUCGUAGGCGGUUUGUCACGUCGGGAGUGAAAACUCAGGGCUUAACCCUGAGCCUGCUUCCGAUACGGGCAGACUAGAGGUAUGCAGGGGAGAAUGGAAUUCCUGGUGUAGCGGUGAAAUGCGCAGAUAUCAGGAGGAACACCGGUGGCGAAGGCGGGUCUCUGGGCAGUAACUGACGCUGAGGAGCGAAAGCUAGGGGAGCAAACGGG